CCAAUUAGAUCAUCAACCCAUAAGAUUAUUAAACAAUAAGAUCAUCUACCAAUAAGAUCAUCAACUACUAAGAUCAUCAGCCACAUGUUCUCUGCGUUGAAACCA
Long non-coding RNA from Xenia sp. Carnegie-2017, 105 nucleotides. RefSeq lists it as uncharacterized. The transcript is spliced from 3 exons. The record is from RefSeq and is a predicted model, not a curated record. Lineage: Eukaryota; Metazoa; Cnidaria; Anthozoa; Malacalcyonacea; Xeniidae.